AUUGAACGCUGGCGGCAUGCCUUACACAUGCAAGUCGAACGGUAACGCGGGGCAACCUGGCGACGAGUGGCGAACGGGUGAGUAAUGCAUCGGAACGUGCCUGGUAGUGGGGGAUAACUGCUCGAAAGAGCAGCUAAUACCGCAUACGACCUGAGGGUGAAAGGGGGGGAUCGCAAGACCUCUCGCUAUCAGAGCGGCCGAUGUCGGAUUAGCUAGUUGGUGGGGUAAAGGCCCACCAAGGCAACGAUCCGUAGCUGGUCUGAGAGGACGACCAGCCACACUGGGACUGGGACACGGCCCAGACUCCGACGGGAGGCAGCAGUGGGGAAUUUUGGACAAUGGACGCAAGUCUGAUCCAGCCAUGCCGCGUGCGGGAAGAAGGCCUUCGGGUUGUAAACCGCUUUUGUCAGGGAAGAAAUCUUCUGGGCUAAUACCCUGGGAGGAUGACGGUACCUGAAGAAUAAGCACCGGCUAACUACGUGCCAGCAGCCGCCGUAA
This 498-nucleotide ribosomal RNA is filed under the name uncultured bacterium. Its description in RNAcentral is "partial 16S ribosomal RNA". It matches the Rfam family "Bacterial small subunit ribosomal RNA", at positions 29 to 523 of the family's 1533-position model. The record is from RNAcentral.